CCUUCGAUAGCUCAGUUGGUAGAGCGGUGGACUGUAGUGAGAAGAAACAAUAGUAAUCCAUAGGUCACUGGUUCAAAUCCGGUUCGAAGGA
Molecule: transfer RNA, 91 nt
Filed under: Anopheles culicifacies
Lineage: Eukaryota; Metazoa; Arthropoda; Insecta; Diptera; Culicidae
Description: tRNA tRNA-Tyr
Rfam family: tRNA
About the family: Transfer RNA (tRNA) molecules are approximately 80 nucleotides in length. Their secondary structure includes four short double-helical elements and three loops (D, anti-codon, and T loops).
Source: RNAcentral